RNAcentral lists this ribosomal RNA (475 nucleotides) under uncultured organism. RNAcentral's name for it is "partial 16S ribosomal RNA". It matches the Rfam family "Bacterial small subunit ribosomal RNA", at positions 331 to 797 of the family's 1533-position model. The record is from RNAcentral.
GUACACUCCUACGGGAGGCAGCAGUGGGGAAUAUUGCACAAUGGGCGCAAGCCUGAUGCAGCCAUGCCGCGUGUAUGAAGAAGGCCUUCGGGUUGUAAAGUACUUUCAGCGGGGAGGAAGGCGAUAAGGUUAAUAACCUUGUCGAUUGACGUUACCCGCAGAAGAAGCACCGGCUAACUCCGUGCCAGCAGCCGCGGUAAUACGGAGGGUGCAAGCGUUAAUCGGAAUUACUGGGCGUAAAGCGCACGCAGGCGGUCUGUCAAGUCGGAUGUGAAAUCCCCGGGCUCAACCUGGGAACUGCAUUCGAAACUGGCAGGCUAGAGUCUUGUAGAGGGGGGUAGAAUUCCAGGUGUAGCGGUGAAAUGCGUAGAGAUCUGGAGGAAUACCGGUGGCGAAGGCGGCCCCCUGGACAAAGACUGACGCUCAGGUGCGAAAGCGUGGGGAGCAAACAGGAUUAGAUACCCCUGGUAGUCCC